Long non-coding RNA from Gigantopelta aegis, 1468 nucleotides. RefSeq lists it as uncharacterized. The transcript has 2 exons. Lineage: Eukaryota; Metazoa; Mollusca; Gastropoda; Neomphalida; Peltospiridae. The record is from RefSeq and is a predicted model, not a curated record.
GCGACCCCGUCUCUUUUUGUUGUGGCCGUUGUUCAAUUCAAAUGAACAUUGCCCAAGACGUUUCGCAAAAUCGCAAGCUUACCAGUGUUUUCGUAACCUCCCGGAAAACACAAUAUCCCUUUACGGAUGGUACCGAGCACGUACGGGGUGUCGAUCGGUGUGCGAGUUUACCACAGAUGUGUCAGUGCGCCUCAUACUACGACCUGGAAACAUUUGGUUUAGUGCAGAACAUCUCUUCUGUAUCGUGUGACACAGCUACCAUAUGUUUGACACAUAACAGCGACUGAUCAAAGGAGUGCACUCUUAAACAGCCAUACCCUUCCUGGGUUUUGUUUCGUCUUUCCAUUACGUGCAUGAAUGGACGAUGUUUUUUCUAAAUCCAAAUUAAGUCUCUACACAUCUUCUGUAGUCACGACAUCACGUGUGAGGACAUCCAUCACAGUCUGAAACAAUGAGUGGUUUUCCAACUGAUAAAGCCGUCAUAAUUCCACCCACUUAAACCGCGAUGGACUGUGCUGCACUUUCUCCUCAUUGCAUCAAAGCGAAAUUCAUUAUCGCAGGAAGUGGAAAUGUGCAAGUUGUACCGCGAAAUUGACGACAAUCACGCACCAGAAUGGCGCCGGGUGGAAUCGAAGACGAAAUGUUAUAAAUGUCCAAAAAAGUACUAGUUUCCACAUGCAUUGACAUUGGAUUAGUAGUGUUAAUAGAUUUGACUAUUAUUUAUUCUUAAAAUAGGACGUAAGUAUGUCUGGCUACUUGCAAGAUGUUUGUUAUCCUAUGUAGUCGCCAGUUUCAUGGGAGUGCAGCAUACUCUUUUUCUUUUAAACUGCCAUCUGUUUGUAUCCUUACUUUAGAGAGCAUCAACAAAACCCACUAAACCCACAAAACCCACAGUGUUUAAUCAGCAUCUAUGGUCCUGUCAUAUGCCCUAGACAUUUAAAUAAGAGGUUUUCACGUACAAAAUCUAUUGUUCGCGAUUUGCAGUAUAUGGUAUGUAACAUGUACUUGUAUAGCCUUAACUUGGGGACUGCGGAUGCUUUCUUUCCUUAUCAACAGUUGGCUGAUUGACUGGUUUCUUGAUGAAUGCAUGGAUCUGUGCAUGGGCGUACGCAUGGAUGGAUGGAUGGAUACUUGGAUAGUUGAGUUAGGUUGUCUUGGGUUGGGAUGGCUAGACGGAUAUUUUGGGUUGUUAGUUUCCUAUUUGCAUAAGCGUACGAGACAUGGGGCGGUGGGCGGGCAACUGCCUCCCUACUGCUGGAGAAAAACCUCAGAUUCUGGCAUAAAUGAUAGAGCUAUUCUGGCAAAAUGUGCUACCCUGAGACCUUAAGUGGGUUUUUUUUACCAUGUAUUUCCAUAAUUUGACUUUCAGAAUUAGUUAUAACCCAUAUAAAAAUGCGAAGUGAUUCGUUUGCAACCCUAUAUAGCUUGUUGGUAGUAAUGCUAAUAUGAAUAAACGUUGUUUUUUAGA